GGUGCUGUGGCUUACCAGGUAAAGCCUCCACCUGCAGUGUGGGAAUCCAUAUGGCUGCCGCCGUGGAGCUGGAUUGGGAUUCGAAUCCCAUUGCUCCA
RNAcentral lists this transfer RNA (98 nucleotides) under Oryctolagus cuniculus (rabbit). It matches the Rfam family "tRNA". Rfam says of the family: Transfer RNA (tRNA) molecules are approximately 80 nucleotides in length. Their secondary structure includes four short double-helical elements and three loops (D, anti-codon, and T loops). Lineage: Eukaryota; Metazoa; Chordata; Mammalia; Lagomorpha; Leporidae. The record is from Rfam by way of RNAcentral.